UGUGUGUACACCGUGUGCACCCCCCUCCACACUCGAGUGAGCAUAUACGUCUCUUGUGUUUUUUUCUUUAAUUUUUAUUCUUUUGGUUUUUUUCACAAGGCUUUUUCUCUAGCCCUGGAUGUCCCAAAUUCACCCUACAGACCAGGCUAGCCUUGAGCUCAGAGGUCCGACUCCCAAGCACUGGGAUUAAAGGUGUGUGCCACCACACCUGACUUUUUUUUCUACUGAGUUUGUGUUUCUGUGUAUGUACAUUUGUGCUUUUUAUUUUUUCUUAUUUAUUUAUUUGCCUCUUUUCAAGAAGGCACGGAAUUAAUUGGAUGGAGAUCUGGAGGAGACUAGGACAGGAAAUUGUAAACAAUGUUUUUAUUUUUGAGUUUGGUCAUUCAUCAAUCUGAGGCGUCAGGCACGGAGUUAAUUGGAUGGAGAUCUGGAGGAGACUAGGACAGGAAAUUGUAAACAAUGUUUUUAUUUUUGAGUUUGGUCAUUCAUCAAUCUGAGGCGUCUACACACCAGUUAAGUCACAGCUCCUGGCCUUUGUAAGGAAAGCCGAGCUUGGUAUGAGCUCUAUUCCACCCCUAUCUUAAUUGCUUCUCUUUGCUCCGUGUCCUUAGAUGUAGCUCAACUCUGCUCAUUUACUUCGUGAAGAAUUCCUAGACUGCUCCUUUGUUAUGAUUUCCUAUGAUAUUACAUGCUAUUUUCCUUCUAUUGUACUUCUUACAGCUACAGGUUCGUUUUGCUUUUGUGAUAAGUAUAUUUUCCAAUAACAAGCUACACGAAGGUAUGAGCUACGUUUAUUUUUGCUAGACAAAUGGUUAAAGUACAGCUCAGUAAUCCAGCAAUGGGGGAGGGUGCAUAGCAAGGAGCAAGGGUUACAAAGCGUCCGGAACCAAAAAGGCGGGGGAGAGUAGUCUGAAUUGGGUUAUGAGGCCCGCGAGGUGCCUCACCUCAGCCAUUGAACUCGAAUUGCUGGCCGUGAGUCUGUUCCAAGCCCCGGCGAGGGAGGCAUCCGCCCACCCGGGGGCUUCUCCUGCCCAGUCUGCCCACGCGUGGAGCCCUGCUCUCUGGGAACUCACCUCCCCACUCGGGGAGAGCCCGGUUAGGGCCGCGGGAGGCCCCAGUCUCAGACCUUCCCAGGGGCCGAGAGAGUGACGAGCACUCAGCGCGUGGCCCCGCUGAUGAGCUUCCCCCGCCCACUAGGAGUGUGAAGACCUGCCGCCAUAAUAAGACUCCAAAAGACAGUGAAUUUAACACUUACGGUGACUUCCCACAAAGCACAGCGUGUAAUUUGCAUGCGCUCUAGCCCAGGCUCCAGCUCCGGACCAGAAGCCCGCGCAUCCCGGCAAAGGGUGAUGACGUCGUCCUUCAAGCGCUAUGGCGCCGCGGCGGCGGAGAUCUGGCUGUGGAAGACGAGUGCUAAAUGAAGCCAAGAGAGUUGAUAAUGGCAACAGAGCAACAGAUGACUCUCCUCCUGGCAAGAAAGUGCGCACGUGCCAGAAAAAGGGGCCUGCGGCUGGAGGGGAGGACACAGACAGGACAAAAGGCAAGCAAGACUCUGUGAAGACCCUGCUCGUAAAGGGCCGAGCUCCUGUGGACCCAGAGUGCACAUCCAAGGUCGGAAAGGCUCAUGUGUAUUGUGAAGGAGAUGAUGUCUAUGACGUCAUGUUAAAUCAAACCAAUCUCCAGUUCAACAACAACAAGUACUACCUUAUCCAGCUGUUAGAAGAUGAUGCCCAGCAGAACUUCAGUGUGUGGAUGAGGUGGGGCCGAGUUGGGAAAACAGGGCAGCACAGCUUGGUGGCUUGUUCUGGUGACCUCAACAAAGCAAAAGAAAUAUUUCAGAAAAAAUUCCUUGACAAAACUAAAAACAAUUGGGAGGAUCGUGAGAACUUUGAGAAAGUACCUGGAAAAUACGACAUGUUGCAGAUGGACUAUGCUGCCAGCACUGAGGAUGAAAAUAAAACAAAACAAGAGGAAACUUCGAAGCCAGAGUCACAGCUGGAUCUUCGAGUCCAGGAGCUGCUAAAGUUGAUCUGUAACGUGCAGACCAUGGAAGAGAUGAUGAUUGAGAUGAAGUAUGACACCAAGAGGGCCCCACUCGGAAAACUGACAGUGGCGCAGAUCAAGGCAGGCUACCAGUCUCUCAAGAAGAUUGAGGAUUGUAUCCGUGCUGGCCAGCAUGGGCGAGCGCUUGUUGAGGCAUGUAAUGAAUUCUACACCAGGAUCCCUCAUGACUUUGGACUCUCCAUCCCUCCUGUAAUCCGGACAGAGAAAGAACUGUCAGACAAAGUAAAACUGCUGGAGGCAUUGGGAGACAUUGAAAUUGCCCUUAAGCUGGUGAAGUCAGAGCGCCAAGGCCUAGAACACCCACUGGACCAACACUAUAGAAACCUACGUUGUGCUUUGCGUCCUCUGGACCAUGAAAGUCAUGAGUUCAAAGAUGCUGCUCUGGCAUGGUUCCAGGCUGAGUAACUGGGUGGGGAUCCUGAGCCACGGACUUAGAGUCGCCCCACCUGAGGCUCCCAUCACAGGUUAUAUGUUUGGGAAAGGAAUCUACUUUGCUGACAUGUCGUCCAAGAGUGCCAAUUACUGCUUUGCUUCUCGCCUGAAGAAUACAGGAUUGCUUCUUCUGUCAGAG
Molecule: non-coding RNA, 2635 nt
Organism: Rattus norvegicus (Norway rat)
Lineage: Eukaryota; Metazoa; Chordata; Mammalia; Rodentia; Muridae
Source: RefSeq, a predicted model, not a curated record